This 350-nucleotide ribosomal RNA is filed under the name uncultured bacterium. RNAcentral's name for it is "bacterial SSU rRNA". It matches the Rfam family "Bacterial small subunit ribosomal RNA", at positions 917 to 1269 of the family's 1533-position model. The record is from RNAcentral.
GGGCCCGCACAAGCGGUGGAGCAUGUGGUUUAAUUCGAUGAUACGCGAGGAACCUUACCAGGGCUUAAAUGUAGUAUGACCGGUCUAGAAAUAGGCCUUCCCUUCGGGGCAGAUUACAGGUGCUGCAUGGUUGUCGUCAGCUCGUGCCGUGAGGUGUUAGGUUAAGUCCUGCAACGAGCGCAACCCCUAUUCUUAGUUGCCAGCGGUUCGGCCGGGGACUCUAAGAAGACUGCCAGCGCAAGCUGAGAGGAAGGUGGGGAUGACGUCAAAUCAUCACGGCCCUUACGUCCUGGGCUACACACGUGCUACAAUGGUACAGACAGAGGGCAGCCACUACGCGAGUAGGAGCG